Molecule: long non-coding RNA, 1032 nt
Organism: Ornithodoros turicata
Lineage: Eukaryota; Metazoa; Arthropoda; Arachnida; Ixodida; Argasidae
Exons: 3
Source: RefSeq, a predicted model, not a curated record
UACACAUGCCCAAGAGAGUCCAAAUAUUAAGGACGACUAUCGAAGCGUAUACAGCAUCGAAAUGGACAGAACGUUGCUCAACGUUCCAGCUCCAUGGACCCGCACUUUUACUCCAUCCGUUCUCUUAAGAAUUCCUCACCGAUCAGAUAGCCGGUUCUUGAAGCUUCCUGUCGUCGAGUCUCCUCCGCUAAUGAGGCUUCGCCCGGCGCUUCUAUGAUCGCUGCGCAACUGGUUGAAAACGCAUCACUCGCACAGCGCUUGCUGCCUCUGGAGAUUGUAAGUCAAUGCUCCGUCAUUACUGACUGGUGACAUUCCAAAGUUUUACGAAGCAAUCUCCUUUAAACUCCUAGCUUAGGCUAAUGUUCGAAGCAACCGAUUUAUUCGCCCAUUGUGAAACUUAUGCAGUCGCUUGAGACAAGUUAAAAAGGUUACUCGCGGUAGCACUGCAGUUUUAAUGAACUUAACUUUCAUGGCGGUCGGCGGAACUUCGGAGGGGCUAUCACAGUCCCUCAACACUUCUUUAUCCGCAGGUGGCUCAAAUAUCUGGUACAGUCGAUGAAGACGCUGUCGAGACACAUUACCAUGAAUGCGACUUUUGCUGUGGUCCUUUUGGUUCUCUCAUCGCGGGGGAGCACAUUUCGACACUCCGUGUGGCGCAAUGCGUGAACCUUCGUGACCCACGACCAAGUGUGACUCCAAGCAGUUGAAGACCAAGUUGAACGACCAAGUAUCCAGGUGUCCAGAAUCGGGACACCUGUGACAGGAGAAAAAAUCGCGUUUUUUCGCCGAAUUUAGAACAAAAAAAAGAAAAAGAAGAAAAAUCAUCGAAGACCAGAAACCCAAUGACUUAAUAUUCAUAUGUGUUUGUCUUGAAACAAUGAUUACUAUAUGAUGACUGUUGUACAGGGGCAGCCUUACUGACUUCGGGAGCACCUGAGCUCGUCGAUAUUGACGACGACUGGAAAAGUCUUAGGAAUGCCAGCAACUUCCCAGGUGUCUAGGAAGCCUUGCUGAAGACGCGCUGCAGUAGAG